GAGUUUGAUCGUGGCUCAGAGUGAACGCUGGCGGCGUGCUUAAAACAUGCAAGUCGAACGGGGUCCAACCAGUCGCAAGACUGGGGAAGACCUAGUGGCGAACGGGUGCGUAACACGUGAGGAACCUGCCCCGGAGACCGGGAUAACCCUCCGAAAGGAGAGCUAAUACCGGAUGCCCCCACCUGAUCGCAUGGUCGGGUGAGGAAAUGGAUUCCGCUCCGGGAUGGCCUCGCGGCCUAUCAGCUUGUUGGUGAGGUAACGGCUCACCAAGGCAUCGACGGGUAGCUGGUCUGAGAGGACGAUCAGCCACACUGGGACUGAGACACGGCCCAGACUCCUACGGGAGGCAGCAGUUAGGAAUCUUGCGCAAUGGGCGAAAGCCUGACGCAGCAACGCCGCGUGGGGGAUGAAGGCUCUCGGGUUGUAAACCCCUUUCAGCAGGGACGAUUGUGACGGUACCUGCAGAAGAAGGACCGGCCAACUACGUGCCAGCCGCCGCGGU
This 502-nucleotide ribosomal RNA is filed under the name uncultured Actinomycetes bacterium. Its description in RNAcentral is "bacterial SSU rRNA". It matches the Rfam family "Bacterial small subunit ribosomal RNA", at positions 9 to 521 of the family's 1533-position model. Lineage: Bacteria; Bacillati; Actinomycetota; Actinomycetes. The record is from RNAcentral. RNAcentral also lists the same sequence under 1 other name.